UGACUGGGGUGUCCCGGGCCAGGCCUGAAUUCACAGGCACCUCCAAGCGGGCAGCCCGGGGUAAGUUCAUGUCCAAACAGAACGGCGUCUGCCCUGCUUGAGCCACCGACCCUCGGAAAGGACAUGAUGCCUGUAAGUGGCGCGGCGCCUGCUCCCUGCUGAGUAAAUGGCAGCCGGAAUCAUAGAUCCUCCAGUGUUCUCCUCUGUCAUAUUACCAAAGCGUCUUAAGGACAUCAGCGGUCAACAGGUUUUGUUUGUAAUUUUAAUUAAAUGAAUGAAUGAACCCGCAUCGGAUUCCGUUAGUGUGGUUUUGCUGUUCAGCAGCACCAAAAAGACAAAAAUCACGAGAACCCCGGAUGGAACCCAGAGACUCUAAACCUAUCCAUCGCUCUAUUUCAUUCACAUCUUCAAAAGAAACAGCAUUUUCUUUUACUAAUUUUCCUACUUUUUUCUAUUUUAAUUUCAAAUUUCUUAAGUCCGUUUUCCUUCAUCCUAUCGUUACUUUAACAGUUUCUUGAAUUAACUACAUAGUUCAUUUAUUUUCAGUCUUCUGCGGUAAUAGUCAAAAUGUUAAUGGCUAUAAAUUUUCCUCUGACUGUAGGUUUAGCUGUGUUUAUUAGGGUCUUAUGGGUCUUGCUAUGUUGCCCGGGCUGGAGUGCAUUGGCUAUUCACAGGCACGAUCCCACUGCUAAUCAGUAUGGGACCUUUGACCUGCUGUUUCCAUCCUGGGCUGGUUCACCCCUCCUUAGGCAACCUGGUGGUCUUCCACUCCAGGGAGGUCACCAUACUGACGUCCAACUUAGUGCAGACACCGGAUGGUCAUAGCAGCACUACAGCCCAGAACUCCUAGGCUCCAGCAAUGCCUCCAGCCUGGGCAUCCAGAGUAGCGGGGAGGCUCGCGCCACCACACAGGCCAUUAGGAUUUUAUAUGGAGUAUUCUCUCUUAAAAUGUUCCAGAUUUUCUGUAAUUUCAGUUUUUGCCAUUUUCUAUAUUGGAGUUAUAGUUUACAUACAGCAAAGUGCACAUAUCUUAAAUUUACAGCUUAUAUAACCACCACCAAUUCAGAUGUAGAACAUUUCCAGCAACCAGAGUUUCUCUCAGCCCAAAGAAAAUAGGUGGCCACUGCUCUUUUAUCACCCUAGGUUAGUUUUGCCUGUUCUUGAAUGUCAUGUAAAAACAGCAAGUACUCUGUUAUGUCCACAUCUAUCACUGGACAUGUUUUUGAGAAUCACCCACGUUACGUGCAUCCAUUUUUUCUUGCUGUGUAAUAUUUGAUUUAUGAAUAUAUCAAAGUUUAUUCUCCUGUUGAUGGAUAUUUCAGUUGUUUCCAAUUUGUGGCAAUUUUGAAUAAAGCGCUAUUUACAUUAA
Molecule: long non-coding RNA, 1369 nt
Organism: Galeopterus variegatus (Sunda flying lemur)
Lineage: Eukaryota; Metazoa; Chordata; Mammalia; Dermoptera; Cynocephalidae
Exons: 2
Source: RefSeq, a predicted model, not a curated record